ACCACUCAGAUUGGUACACUCGUUGAUGCCAACACCACUUUUAGUGAAAGGUUGAACUCAAUCGAGCAAACUUUGACGAGUGUUCAAACCACUCAUGCAGAUUUGUCAAACGCGCAGAACGUUGUUUCAAGCCGUUUAGAUACUUUGCCUUCAGUAGCAGCGCGUCAGCGUAGGCUAUUCGUAACUCCCGCACAAAACAGGACCAGGAAUAC
Molecule: long non-coding RNA, 212 nt
Filed under: Arabidopsis lyrata
Lineage: Eukaryota; Viridiplantae; Streptophyta; Magnoliopsida; Brassicales; Brassicaceae
Description: long non-coding RNA (ALYR_LNC001964)
Source: RNAcentral